UCGACGGGAAAUCCAAUCAAGAAAACCCUGACCCUCAAGCAGCUACUGUAUUUGACCAGCUCACACCAGCUAGGCCUCCUCCAAAACUCAGAUAAAUAUUUGAGCCACCAAAAAAAAAACGAGAACAGAUCGGUCUGAAUCGUUAAGAACUGAAGCUAACAUCAUAGAGGUACAUCCUUCCAAGAAUCCAUCAAAACAACAUGCUGAACAACUUCAAGAACUCUCUUCAAAAGACCACACUUUCCUGAAAUAAAUAAAAGAUGCCAAUAUUAAAAUAAAUCAGUUACAUGUAUUGUUAAAUAUUUUAAUACUAGCUGUAAAUGCUACUGCCUUUGAUGUUUGCUUCCUACAUGUAUAUCAUAAUGAAAUAUUGACAAGAUAAUAGCUAAUGUUU
Long non-coding RNA from Mya arenaria, 394 nucleotides. RefSeq lists it as uncharacterized. Lineage: Eukaryota; Metazoa; Mollusca; Bivalvia; Myida; Myidae. The record is from RefSeq and is a predicted model, not a curated record. The transcript is spliced from 2 exons.